UACGGAGGGUGCAAGCGUUAUCCGGAUUCACUGGGUUUAAAGGGUGUGUAGGCGGGUGUUUAAGUCAGUGGUGAAAUCUCCAGGCUCAACCUGGAAACUGCCAUUGAUACUAUUCAUCUUGAAUUCUGUUGAGGUGGGCGGAAUAUAUCAUGUAGCGGUGAAAUGCUUAGAUAUGAUAUAGAACACCGAUUGCGAAGGCAGCUCACUAAACAGCGAUUGACGCUGAGGCACGAAAGCG
RNAcentral lists this ribosomal RNA (238 nucleotides) under uncultured bacterium. Its description in RNAcentral is "partial 16S ribosomal RNA". It matches the Rfam family "Bacterial small subunit ribosomal RNA", at positions 524 to 761 of the family's 1533-position model. The record is from RNAcentral.